This 234-nucleotide unclassified non-coding RNA is filed under the name plant metagenome. Its description in RNAcentral is "partial contains small subunit ribosomal RNA, internal transcribed spacer 1, and 5.8S ribosomal RNA". The record is from RNAcentral.
UUUCCGUAGGUGAACCUGCGGAAGGAUCAUUACUGAGUGAGGGCCCUCUGGGUCCAACCUCCCACCCGUGUUUAUUGUACCUUGUUGCUUCGGUGCGCCCGCCUCACGGCCGCCGGGGGGCUUCUGCCCCCGGGUCCGCGCGCACCGGAGACACCAUUGAACUCUGUCUGAAGAUUGCAGUCUGAGCAUAAACUAGAUAAGUUAAAACUUUCAACAACGGAUCUCUUGGUUCCG